RNAcentral lists this unclassified non-coding RNA (390 nucleotides) under soil metagenome. RNAcentral describes it as "partial contains 5.8S ribosomal RNA, internal transcribed spacer 2, and large subunit ribosomal RNA". The stretch from base 1 to 122 matches the Rfam family "5.8S ribosomal RNA", at positions 35 to 154 of the family's 154-position model. The record is from RNAcentral.
GAUGAAGAACGCAGCGAAAUGCGAUACUUGGUGUGAAUUGCAGAAUCCCGUGAACCAUCGAGUCUUUGAACGCAAGUUGCGCCCGAAGCCAUUAGGCCGAGGGCACGCCUGCCUGGGCGUCACACGUCGUUGCCCCCCCAUCUACUCCUUCGGGAUUGCGGGGGGCGGAUGAUGGCCUCCCGUGCGCCUCGUCGCGCGGUUGGCAUAAAUGCCAAGUCCUCGGCGACGCACGCCACGACAAUCGGUGGUUGCGAAACCUCGGUUGCCCGUCGUGUGCGGUCGUCGCGCAUCGAGGGCUCGAAAAAAUUGCCGGGCUCCGGCUCGGCUUUCAACGCGACCCCAGGUCAGGCGGGGUUACCCGCUGAAUUUAAGCAUAUAAUAAGCGGAGGA